UACGAAGGGAGCUAGCGUUGCUCGGAAUCACUGGGCGUAAAGCGCACGUAGGCGGAUUUUUAAGUCAGGGGUGAAAUCCUGGAGCUCAACUCCAGAACUGCCUUUGAUACUGGGAAUCUCGAGUCCGGAAGAGGUGAGUGGAACUGCGAGUGUAGAGGUGAAAUUCGUAGAUAUUCGCAAGAACACCAGUGGCGAAGGCGGCUCACUGGUCCGGUACUGACGCUGAGGUGCGAAAGCGUGGGGAGCAAACAGG
This 253-nucleotide ribosomal RNA is filed under the name uncultured bacterium. Its description in RNAcentral is "partial 16S ribosomal RNA". It matches the Rfam family "Bacterial small subunit ribosomal RNA", at positions 524 to 776 of the family's 1533-position model. The record is from RNAcentral.